UACAUCCUGCUUUUGCUCGUUACGGCUUCACGUUGUUUUGAACCAAUGGCUGUUUCACGGGAGACCUAUAUUGGAACGCAGCUGACACGCCCUCGAAAGGGGAUCUCAAAAGCGUUUCUGCGGACACCCACCUGCGAGAGCGGGUUCAGAAACAAGCGGGCCGGACGGCAUAGGCGGGUUUUCU
This 184-nucleotide non-coding RNA is filed under the name Paenibacillus sp. sptzw28. RNAcentral's name for it is "6S RNA". It matches the Rfam family "6S / SsrS RNA". Rfam says of the family: E. coli 6S RNA was the first non coding RNA to be sequenced, but its function was unknown until recently. It consists of 184 nucleotides that fold into an extended hairpin structure with a large single-stranded internal bulge. The 6S RNA specifically associates with RNA polymerase holoenzyme containing the sigma70 specificity factor. The record is from RNAcentral. Lineage: Bacteria; Bacillati; Bacillota; Bacilli; Caryophanales; Paenibacillaceae.